GUUGAGAUUGAGACCAAGGAUAAGAUUACUGUCAAGAAGGUUGAAAAGGGUAUCUGUUAUAUGUAUGUUAAAUGAUUUUGGGAAGUUUCUGAGGAAGAACUCAAGAAGAGUGGCACUGUCAACUUCAAUUUCUGUGAUAUUGGGCUUGUGUUAUUUGUUUCUAAGAUUGACAGCAACUCCUCCUCCAAAGGUUGUUCCAUAUUCAGACUUGAUUACCAGCCUUCAGGGAGGAUCUGUGUCAAAGGUUCAAUUUGAGGAAGGCACACGCCGUAUUUACUACAAUACGAACUUGUGGAGUCUUAAAAAUGCUCAGACAGGGGAAGAUAAUUCCUUAGUUCCCGAUGAAAGCACGACCAUCACUGAGGAAAGCAAAGAUAUAGAUAGCAACAAAGGUGGCAAGAAUG
This 404-nucleotide unclassified non-coding RNA is filed under the name Hevea brasiliensis (rubber tree). Lineage: Eukaryota; Viridiplantae; Streptophyta; Magnoliopsida; Malpighiales; Euphorbiaceae. The record is from RNAcentral.